GCUGGUUACCUGUGUAUUGCUUCACGCUAUGUGGGCGUGCCCUCUGAGUACUCCAGUUCUUGAGAUCUCAAUGAAACUGAAACACUGCAAUUUCAUAUUCUCCAUGUUCCUAAAUAAUUUCAAUUUGAUUCAACAUUAAGUGACUUGAUAACAGACGUUGAGUCCAGACAAGCCAAAUUGGGCCAUGCAGAACAGCCAGUGAAUUCAGUUAUUCAGAAUUUAAUAUAAGCCAAAUUUAUCAUUUCAGCCACAGGAAAAAAAAACUGAAUCUUCUAGUCAAAGCUUAAGAAGUACAUGUUGUCAUGAGAUGCAUCACACUGCAGAUUAAACUUUUCCUUUUUACAGCUUAAGCUACAGGUUAAAGGUCCAAAACAGUCAAAAUGAAUAUAUCCAGAUUUGUCUUACUAAGGCCUGGAAUUAUUCUUAUAUCAUUACUUGCAUGUUCUUUCAUACUUUGGUUUAUCAAUAUGGAUUGAAAUAAAAUGUGAAUGUGAGCAUGUUGCAUAUCCAGGUUACCACAAAUUAACCUUGUGGAAGUUUAGAGCUCUAUUGUGUUUUACAGGUUACCACAACAUAGUGCUAGAUGCUAAUUAAGCUUGGAGCAGUGCUUAAGAAUACCGAGUUUAUGUAAGUGGAAUAUAGUAGUUACUUCUGCCUUCCUUUAUGUAAUGAGAUGCUCUUAAGUCUUAAUAGAUAUUAUUAAAAAAAAGUCUUAAUAGACAGGAAUAAUGAGAAUUUAUUUCUCAAUACCUGUUAUGAACUUAUGGUCAGAUGAUGGGGUCUUCACAAAUGAAGUAAAUUGAGGUUGUGUAUCCUAGCUAUGUUACGUCAAAUUCACUUUUUUAACUAAUAACAAAGAAAUUAUAUAGUGACAUAUAUGCUAAUUGCUAAAUAACAUGUAACCGACUCCUUUUCGUCAAUGAAAUGUGUGCACAGCUGGUCCUCAGGGGAAAAAAGAAGACAUGGGUUCUUUUUUCCCUUCUGUCGAGUUAUGGUUCCAUGCAUCUUGUCUUAGCGAUCAAGUGAUGUUGUUAAUUUGUGGUGCUGCAGAUACAGAUUACUGUUGUUGCGCAUUUAGUUAGCCAUAAACAGGAACUUGUCUGUCCUUGUGGUUAGUCAGAUAGACACAAAUGUUUGACGCAGGCAAAUCAAUUCCUCAACCAGCUGGUGUUGUUUUCAUAAAAUUGUGCAUUUCUGCAGCGUUGGAAAUGGCCUCUAGGUGAGUGAGCAGGUGCUUGAUAAACUCAUGGUACUCAUCUGAGGAAUUGGUCAAGAGGAGAUUUGGUGAUGAUAGUAGUACUGGUAGUCAGGUAGUGGUAAUGGUGCUCAUCUUUAUUUAGAACAGGUCUGAAAUUAUCUGCACUCAAGAAAAUGUGCACCUGAAAAUGAAAUACUGCAAUUUGCUAUGCUCCAUGCCCUGGAGAAUUUUACUAGUGCACCUGAAAAUGCAGCUCACCAAUAAUGUGGGAAAGCACUGUGGAAACCAGGAAUCCUGAACUGUGUUACAAGUGCUGUGAACUUUGGUCUUCAAAAAUUCUCCAUCCAUCAACACAAGGACAGGAGGAUUAGCUUGCAACAAGGAACAUGACGGCAUUAAGAUUGAUGAUAAAUCCGAAGGGAGAGUCUGACCUAGAAGGUACAGCAAAUGCCAAGGUUCAACUUAGCAUGCAAGCAAAGGUAAAAUAUUUCUUUACAAUUGCAGUAAGACAGAGAUUAAAAGGCUAAUCUCAACCUGGAUCCACGGAGUCGUCCCAAGAAAACCGAAGUGGCGUGCAAGUGUGCAACAGGAACUAAAAGUAUCAGUGUCCACCGACGAAAUGAAAGAAAAGAACCAAUUGCUAUCUUAGGUCUCCUACCCAAGAUGCUGCACAACUUUCUCGUGCUUUCAGUCACGAUCCACUCAGCCUGCCUUUCGGUACUUUUACAGCUAAGCUGAAAACGAAAUGUAGCAAGAUAAACCAUUGGAUUGUGCAAUGAACGAGCUCUGUCAGGUCCGUGCGUCA
Long non-coding RNA from Panicum virgatum (switchgrass), 2003 nucleotides. RefSeq lists it as uncharacterized. Lineage: Eukaryota; Viridiplantae; Streptophyta; Magnoliopsida; Poales; Poaceae. The transcript has 2 exons. The record is from RefSeq and is a predicted model, not a curated record.